Molecule: ribosomal RNA, 542 nt
Filed under: Meyerozyma guilliermondii
Lineage: Eukaryota; Fungi; Ascomycota; Pichiomycetes; Serinales; Debaryomycetaceae
Description: eukaryotic LSU rRNA
Rfam family: Eukaryotic large subunit ribosomal RNA
Source: RNAcentral
GCUCAAUUUGAAUCUGGCGCCUUCGGUGUCCGAGUUGUAAUUUGAAGAUUGUAACCUUGGGGUUGGCUCUUGUCUAUGUUUCUUGGAACAGGACGUCACAGAGGGUGAGAAUCCCGUGCGAUGAGAUGCCCAAUUCUAUGUAAGGUGCUUUCGAAGAGUCGAGUUGUUUGGGAAUGCAGCUCUAAGUGGGUGGUAAAUUCCAUCUAAAGCUAAAUAUUGGCGAGAGACCGAUAGCGAACAAGUACAGUGAUGGAAAGAUGAAAAGAACUUUGAAAAGAGAGUGAAAAAGUACGUGAAAUUGUUGAAAGGGAAGGGUUUGAGAUCAGACUCGAUAUUUUGUGAGCCUUGCCUUCGUGGCGGGGUGACCCGCAGCUUAUCGGGCCAGCAUCGGUUUGGGCGGUAGGAUAAUGGCGUAGGAAUGUGACUUUACUUCGGUGAAGUGUUAUAGCCUGCGUUGAUGCUGCCUGCCUAGACCGAGGACUGCGAUUUUAUCAAGGAUGCUGGCAUAAUGAUCCCAAACCGCCCGUCUUGAACAACGGAAC